AAGGGGCCCCAAAGGACAUCCAGCCCAACCCCCUUCUGCCUUUAGGAAAGAAAGGCACCACCCAAUCCCUCCUGACAGAUGGCCCUUCAUCCUUGGAAAGAGCCUCCAUUGGACGCUCAGGCAGAGAGUUCCAGUGUUGAAUGGAUGGAGAGAUAGAAUAGGUAGAUAGAAGAUUGAAUAGGUAGUGAGGGAUAUAGAUAGAUAGAUAGAUAGGAUGGAUGAAUAGAAGGAUGAAUAGAUAGGAUGGAUAGAUAGGAUGGAUGGAUGGAUGAGUAAGUAGAUAGAAGUAUGAAUAGGCAGAUAUGUAGGUAGGUAGAUAGGUAGGUUAGAUGGAUGGAUGAAUGAAUGAAUGAGUAGGUAGAUAGAAGGAUGAAUAGGUAGCGAGGGAUGUAGAUAGAUAGAUAGAUAGAUAGAUAGAUAGGAUGAGUAAGUAGAAGGAUGAAUAGAUAGAUAGGAUGGAUGGAUGGAUAAGUAGAAGGAUGAAUAGAUCAGUAGAUAGGAUGGAUGGAUGGAUGGAUGGAUGAGUACGUAGAAAGAAGGAUGAAUAGGCAGAUAUGUAGGUAGGUAGGUUAGAUGGAUGAAUGAAUGAAUGAGUAGGUAGAAGGAUGAAUAGGUAGUGAGGGAUAUAGAUAGAUAGAUAGAUAGAUAGAUAGAUAGAUAGAUAAAUAGGAUGAAUAGGAUGAAUAGAUAGGAUGGAUAGAUAGGAUGGAUGGAUGGAUGAGUAAGUAGAUAGAAGGAUGAAUAGGCAGAUAUGUAGGUAGGUAGAUAGGUAGGUUAGAUGGAUGGAUGAAUGAAUGAGUAGGUAGAUAGAAGGAUGAAUAGGUAGCGAGGGAUGUAGAUAGAUAGAUAGAUAUAUAGAUAGGAUGAGUAAGUAGAAGGAUGAAUAGAUAGAUAGGAUGGAUGGAUGGAUAAGUAGAAGGAUGAAUAGAUCAGUAGAUAGGAUGGAUGGAUGGAUGGAUGAGUACGUAGAAAGAAGGAUGAAUAGGCAGAUAGGUAGGUAGGUAGGUAGGUUAGAUGGAUGGAUGAAUGAAUGAGUAGGUAGAUAGAAGGAUGAAUAGGUAGCGAGGGAUGUAGAUAGAUAGAUAGAUAGAUAGAUAGAUAGGAUGAGUAAGUAGAAGGAUGAAUAGAUAGAUAGGAUGGAUGGAUGGAUAAGUAGAAGGAUGAAUAGAUCAGUAGAUAGGAUGGAUGGAUGGAUGGAUGAGUACGUAGAAAGAAGGAUGAAUAGGCAGAUAUGUAGGUAGGUAGGUAGGUUAGAUGGAUGAAUGAAUGAAUGAGUAGGUAGAUAGAAGGAUGAAUAGGUAGUGAGGGAUAUAGAUAGAUAGAUAGGAUGGAUGAAUAGAAGGAUGAAUAGAUAGGAUGGAUGGAUGGAUGAGUAAGUAGAUAGAAGUAUGAAUAGGCAGAUAUGUAGGUAGGUAGAUAGGUAGGUUAGAUGGAUGGAUGAAUGAAUGAGUAGGUAGAUAGAAGGAUGAAUAGGUAGUGAGGGAUAUAGAUAGAUAGAUAGGAUGGAUGAAUAGAAGGAUGAAUAGAUAGGAUGGAUGGAUGGAUGAGUAAGUAGAUAGAAGUAUGAAUAGGCAGAUAUGUAGGUAGGUAGAUAGGUAGGUUAGAUGGAUGGAUGAAUGAAUGAAUGAGUAGGUAGAUAGAAGGAUGAAUAGGUAGCGAGGGAUGUAGAUAGAUAGAUAGAUAGAUAGAUAGAUAGAUAGAUAGAUAGAUAGAUAGAUAGGAUGGUUGAAUAGGAUGAGUAAGUAGAAGGAUGGAUAGAUAGAUAGGAUGGAUGGAUGGAUAAGUAGAAGGAUGAAUAGAUCAGUAGAUAGGAUGGAUGGAUGGAUGGAUGAGUAUGUAGAAAGAAGGAUGAAUAGGCAGAUAUGUAGGUAGGUAGGUAGGUUAGAUGGAUGAAUGAAUGAAUGAAUGAAUGAGUAGGUAGAUAGAAGGAUGAAUAGGUAGCGAGGGAUGUAGAUAGAUAGAUAGAUAGAUAGAUAGAUAGAUAGAUAGAUAGGAUGAGUAAGUAGAAGGAUGAAUAGAUAGAUAGGAUGGAUGGAUGGAUAAGUAGAAGGAUGAAUAGAUCAGUAGAUAGGAUGAAUGGAUGGAUGGAUGAGUACAUAGAAAGAAGGAUGAAUAGGCAGAUAUGUAGGUAGGUAGGUAGGUUAGAUGGAUGAAUGAAUGAAUGAGUAGGUAGAUAGAAGGAUGAAUAGGUAGUGAGGGAUAUAGAUAGAUAGAUAGGAUGGAUGAAUAGAAGGAUGAAUAGAUAGGAUGGAUAGAUAGGAUGGAUGGAUGAGUAAGUAGAUAGAAGGAUGAAUAGGCAGAUAUGUAGGUAGGUAGAUAGGUAGGUUAGAUGGAUGGAUGAAUGAAUGAAUGAGUAGGUAGAUAGAAGGAUGAAUAGGUAGUGAGGGAUGUAGAUAGAUAGAUAGAUAGAUAGAUAGAUAGAUAGAUAGAUAGAUAGAUAGAUAGGAUGAGUAAGUAGAAGGAUGAAUAGAUAGAUAGGAUGGAUGGAUAGAUAGAUGGAUGAGUAAGUAGGUAGGUAAAUAGAUAGGUUAGAUGGAUGGAUGAAUGAAUGAAUGAAUGAAUGAAUGAAUGAACAGGUAGAUAAAAGGAUGAAUAGGUAGCGAGGGAUGCAGAUAGUUAGAUAGGAUGGAUGAGUAAGUAGAAGGAUGACUAGAUAGGUAGGAUGGAUGGAUGGAUGGAUGGAUGGAUGGAUGGAUGGAUGGAUGGAUAAGUAGAAGGAUGAAUCGAUAGGUAGGUAGGUAGAUAGAUAGUAAAUAGUAAAUGAGUAAGUAGAAGGAUGAAUAGGCAGAUAUGUAGGUAGGUAGGUAGGUAGGUAGAUAAGUAGAUAGAUGGGUUAGAUGGAUGAAUGGAUGAAUGAAUGAAUGAAUGAAUGAGUAGGUAGAUAGAAUGAUGAAUAGGUAGCAAGGGAUGCAGAUAGAUAGGUAGAUAGGAUGGAUGGAUGGAUAAGUAGAAGGAUGAAUAGAUAGGUAGAUAGAUAGAUGGAUGAGUAAAUAGAUAGAAGGAUGAAUAGGCAGAUAUGUAGGUAGGCAGGCAGGUAGGUAUAGAUAGAUAAGUUAGAUGGAUGGAUGAAUGAAUGAAUGAGUAGGUAGAUAGAAGGAUGAAUAGGCAGAUACGUAGGUAGGCAGGCAGGUAGGUAUAGCUAGAUAAGUUAGAUGGAUGGAUGAAUGAAUGAAUGAAUGAGUAGGUAGAUAGAAGGAUGAAUAGGUAGAUAGAUAGACAAGGAGUAGUUGCUGGUAGGAUAGAUAGGAUAGAUAUCCCAUAUCCCUCUUGAAUGGCUUUGCCCAAAGCAGCAGGGAGGGGCCCCACGACGUCCCUCGCCUAGCAUGGCCUUGGCCCUUUUGUGCUGCUGCGUC
Molecule: long non-coding RNA, 3353 nt
Organism: Anolis carolinensis (green anole)
Lineage: Eukaryota; Metazoa; Chordata; Lepidosauria; Squamata; Anolidae
Exons: 3
Source: RefSeq, a predicted model, not a curated record